Molecule: ribosomal RNA, 253 nt
Filed under: uncultured bacterium
Lineage: Bacteria
Description: partial 16S ribosomal RNA
Rfam family: Bacterial small subunit ribosomal RNA
Source: RNAcentral
UACGUAGGGCGCAAGCGUUAUCCGGAAUUAUUGGGCGUAAAGGGCGCGUAGGCGGCCGUGCAAGUGGAAGGUGAAAUCCCUCGGCUCAACCGAGGAACUGCCUUUCAAACUGCAUGGCUUGAGUCCGGGAGAGGUGAGUGGAAUUCCCAGUGUAGCGGUGAAAUGCGUAGAUAUUGGGAGGAACACCAGUGGCGAAGGCGGCUCACUGGACCGGAACUGACGCUGAGGCGCGAAAGCGUGGGGAGCAAACAGG